AUAUAAGAAGAAUCAAGUCAAAUUUUUUAAUCACUUGAAAACACACUUUAAGGAUGAAAUCAGUACAAGAUUAUAUUUAAAUAGGGGGAGUUUAUUUAAAAAGAAUUGAUUUUGAUCCUUGACAUGCUUGUUCUUAAUAUUUUAAUGCAUAAUAUAUCUUGCAUGUCACAUGAUGUUUUGAAUUAUAUGUUUUCAAUAUUCAAAUAACAAAGAUCUUUCCUAAAUAUAACUUGUAAUGCUUCAUGCCUAUAAAAUUUGAUUGAAACAUAUUAUCACCAACAACAACAUCAUUUUGUUUUAAUGAAUAUAUUUUGAAAAAUAAAAGAAAAGAAUAAUUUGAAUUUGCAAGUUAGGCAAAAUGAAUUGAUUCCGAUUUAUCUUUUAUCUUGCCUAACAUUAGUACAUAAUGUCCUCCAAUUUGUACCAAAAUUCAAUAUGAAUUACAAAGAUUCUGGAUGUGCUCUAAUGUUCUUGAAAUAUGUGUUUUCAAUCUUAAUAAUUUAAGAUAAGCUACAAUAUAGAAUAUGCAUAUCUCAAAUUAUAAUCC
This 547-nucleotide long non-coding RNA is filed under the name Phoenix dactylifera (date palm). Its description in RNAcentral is "long non-coding RNA (PDAC_LNC021747)". The record is from RNAcentral. Lineage: Eukaryota; Viridiplantae; Streptophyta; Magnoliopsida; Arecales; Arecaceae.